CAGCAGCGACUCACACUGCAGCUGAAUCCAACUCAGAAGCCGACACUUGUGUUUGAGGCCAAUCUGCUAGAAGCUGCUGCCUCAGCAUCAGGAGCUCAGGAGCGAGAGCACAGUGAAAAUAACACAACACGUCUGCAGCAGGUUGUUGUGUCGGAUCCAAUGAUCGAGUGACGUGAGGCACAAUGGAGACCGGAGCCAUUAUCGAGGUCAGGCUGCGACCUCCAGUGACCCAGAUACAUGGGAACCAGGGAGACCAUGAAUGAACUGACAGCACUGGAUGAUAAAGAGAAGUUAGUUACCGGGCGGCAGACAGAGGAGCGCCGCUGCCAGGACGCAGCAGUCCACCCCCCUCCUCUCCCACCAGCUGCUCUCCUUCACCAUCUUCUGCACCAUCCUGGACAGCUCCAUCAUCGGAGUGUCUUCUCCACCUGCACUCUUCCUCCCCUCCUCUCCCUCCUUCAUCCCCUCGCUGCUCCCCGGACCGGCUCUCCUCUUCAUCAUCCUCUCGUCCCCUCCUUCCCUCCACUCCUCCGGUACCUCCUGCAUGUCAGCUCCUUCUGCUCCGUCCUCUCUCCGUCACCAGCAGGUCUGUGUCAUGUGCUCCACCCUGAGUGGAAAGUCCACCGGUCGAAGUUGGGAUUGCGAAAGUGCUUAUUGGCUCGGAGCAUUGUCAGGGAGGCCCAGCCCCCUUCCAGUGGCUUCAAGGGCCCUCGUGGAUCCUCCUUCCUCCUUCCUCCUCCUCCUCCUCAUCCCUCUCUGGUCAGCUGACUCCUCCUGCAGUCCAGCAGCAGAGGAAUGUGUCGCCCCACAGCCUGAAGAUGUGGAGCCGCCCUGGGAAGUGAUGGAUCCUGAAAACCUCACACAGAACAGCAGCUGCUCAGAGACUCCUCCCUCUCUCUCCUCUCUGGUGCCUCAUACAUUCUGCAUGUCGUUCACCCCCGUUGUGUUUCUUUGUGUCAGCAGACCCCCUCCUCCUCCUCCUCCUCCACCCAUCACUGUGACCUUGGCAAACAUCCUGGGAAAGGCGGAGAGGCAGAAAGGAGGCCUGAGCAGAACAGAGGCUUAACAGAGGCCGUUCCCUUGUUUCUCUACUGGGUGAAGGUUCAGAGUGAGAGGAGAAGAUGCUGCGGUGCAGGAAUGUGCUCGGACUCGUCUCCGGUGUCGGUGCACGAUUCCUUUUCCUGGAGAGAGGCCACGUGCUCCGGGCGAGAGGCCAUGACGGCAGAGGGAGGAUUUCUUCACUGUGAAGAGCAGCUGACGAGCUGACGGCUCCGUUUACAUCCUCACACUGUUUAUCAACAUUUUGACUUUAUUAAUAUUAUGUCAGCUACACAGAGCAGAUAUUAAAGACAAGGAAGAAGUUUCAAAAAUGUAAUACGAGAAUAAAAUAUAUUCUACAAAUAUUUCAGACCUAAUUCUAACAAAAAAAAACUCAUGUCAAAGAUAAAUGAGGUUUGAUAUUUUACAGUUUAACCAUAAACGUGUUAAUAAAUAACUAUAAAUAAAAUUAAAACAAAAACAAUACCAAAUAUAUAAAACCUGAAUUAAGAAAAAAAAAAUAUUUUUAAUGUAAUGCAAAAUUGUAAGUGUUUGGGCUCUAGGAAAUACUUGAGUAGUAAAUAAAGUAUUAAGUUAAUUUUCAACACUGACCAUUAAUAAACUAGAGAAGAUAUAAAGAUACACAACUUACAUAAACAUGUGCUUUAAAUAGUUGUUGGUUUGAAUCACACACAACAAUAAUAAUUUUCACUUCAUUUUAUUAAGAGAUCAUCUUGUUUGUCUUCAGAGGGUAAAAACCUUCAUUCAUGCACAGACUCACACUUUCAGGUGAAGAGAUAACAAUGUGUUGUCUAGUACACACUCAUACAACCUCACAGUAAUCAGCAGAGUCAGCUUUUAUCUGACACACGUAAAAUAACAUGUUUAAUGUAGGAAAACUGUACAAAAAAUACAUAAUAAACAUUAUUUUAAAGUACAUCCAGUAAAUACAGACACUCAGGUGUAACAGUCAGGUUUCACUGGAGGAGACCAGUGUCCAGCUCAGAGAAAUGAUAACAGUCUUAUCCUUUAUUAUAAAAAGACAAAUGAAGUAUGAACUAAAGUGUCAUGCUACUAAAAUGGCUUGUAGGCCUCCUGUUGUAUCGUGAAGCGCCACAAGAUGGAGCCAUUCCUCCUGCAAUGUGGUGUCAUGCAAACUCUACAGUGUGAAUAAAGAUGGUCGACAUGACGGCUUCUUCCAGAAUCAGUGCUGUGUGACCAGUGGAGAUUCACUGUUAAAUAAAAUGCGUCCAGCAGCUUCUUCCUGGGGCCCAGGGGCAGGUGGAUGCUGGCGAGGUCCCGGUCGGAGCAGAGCAGCAGAGCACGCAGGUCGAUCUUCUCCCUCCUGAAGAUCGGCAUGAACUCACCGAGGUUCUGUG
Long non-coding RNA from Platichthys flesus (European flounder), 2417 nucleotides. RefSeq lists it as uncharacterized. The transcript is spliced from 3 exons. The record is from RefSeq and is a predicted model, not a curated record. NCBI's taxonomy places the organism in Eukaryota, Metazoa, Chordata, Actinopteri, Pleuronectiformes, Pleuronectidae.